This 655-nucleotide ribosomal RNA is filed under the name Bacillus cereus. Its description in RNAcentral is "bacterial SSU rRNA". It matches the Rfam family "Bacterial small subunit ribosomal RNA", at positions 46 to 681 of the family's 1533-position model. The record is from RNAcentral. Lineage: Bacteria; Bacillati; Bacillota; Bacilli; Caryophanales; Bacillaceae.
GUCCUAUACAUGCAGUCGAGCGAAUGGAUUAAGAGCUUGCUCUUAUGAAGUUAGCGGCGGACGGGUGAGUAACACGUGGGUAACCUGCCCAUAAGACUGGGAUAACUCCGGGAAACCGGGGCUAAUACCGGAUAACAUUUUGAACCGCAUGGUUCGAAAUUGAAAGGCGGCUUCGGCUGUCACUUAUGGAUGGACCCGCGUCGCAUUAGCUAGUUGGUGAGGUAACGGCUCACCAAGGCAACGAUGCGUAGCCGACCUGAGAGGGUGAUCGGCCACACUGGGACUGAGACACGGCCCAGACUCCUACGGGAGGCAGCAGUAGGGAAUCUUCCGCAAUGGACGAAAGUCUGACGGAGCAACGCCGCGUGAGUGAUGAAGGCUUUCGGGUCGUAAAACUCUGUUGUUAGGGAAGAACAAGUGCUAGUUGAAUAAGCUGGCACCUUGACGGUACCUAACCAGAAAGCCACGGCUAACUACGUGCCAGCAGCCGCGGUAAUACGUAGGUGGCAAGCGUUAUCCGGAAUUAUUGGGCGUAAAGCGCGCGCAGGUGGUUUCUUAAGUCUGAUGUGAAAGCCCACGGCUCAACCGUGGAGGGGUCAUUGGAAACUGGGAGACUUGAGUGCAGAAGAGGAAAGUGGAAUUCCAUGUGUAGCGG